UCCCCUUGUAAGGAAGAUAGCCUCCUCU
This 28-nucleotide non-coding RNA is filed under the name Rattus norvegicus (Norway rat). Lineage: Eukaryota; Metazoa; Chordata; Mammalia; Rodentia; Muridae. The record is from RNAcentral.